Pelobates cultripes (western spadefoot toad) is the source of this 651-nucleotide non-coding RNA. The record is from the annotation of a GenBank genome assembly. Lineage: Eukaryota; Metazoa; Chordata; Amphibia; Anura; Pelobatidae.
AAACAGUUCUACCUCCUAAGCGUCAUGUAUCUGAUGGAGAUGGUGCUGGAGGAAAACUCAUAGGAUGCAGCUAUGAGAAAACACAUACCCUAUACUAAUCUCACGCUUUCAUAUUUCAAGUAAACCCAUACCCCCUAACAGCAGUGUCCAGAAAAGCAGGAAGUCUAUGGAUGGAGUAAAAGGGUGGGCCACUGACAAAAAACACAUAACCAGAACUGCUGAAAGGGGCGAACAUACACAAAAAGGGGGCAUGUCUGUGUCCCCAUGUCUCCCAGUCCCUUAGUGUCUGUGUCCCCAUGUCUACAGUGCCCCCGUGUCACUAGGGAGACAUUGAGAGACAUUGGGACACUGAGAUACUAGGGAACACUGGGAGACCUGGGGACACAGACCCUUGGGAAAACUGGGAGACAUGGGGACAUUGGGUGACUUUGAGACACGAGGGGAAACUGGGAGACAUGGGGCACUGAGACACUGUGAUACAUAGGGGACACUGUGAUAUAUAGGGGACACUGGAGACUUGAUAAGACCUGGGUACAGAUCAAAACAUUGCGGUGUCCAAUAAACCUGCUUAAAUCUAUCACAGUGAGUGCCUGAGAUUUUUUUCUUUUAUACUAGAGGACACUGAGACACUUUGGGGCACUGUGAGACAAG